Long non-coding RNA from Ostrea edulis (European flat oyster), 902 nucleotides. RefSeq lists it as uncharacterized. NCBI's taxonomy places the organism in Eukaryota, Metazoa, Mollusca, Bivalvia, Ostreida, Ostreidae. The transcript has 3 exons. The record is from RefSeq and is a predicted model, not a curated record.
GCCCGUGGUUUUUACAGGCAUUCAGAAAUUAUGCAGGGUGUGUGAACAGGGACCUGUCACAUUUUAUUUUCUAUCGAGAUCUUCAUUUUAGAUUGAGAGAUAACGAACCGUCAAAUUCUCAAUAUAGCAAUUAUUCACAUACAUUUAUGAUACAGACAGAAUCAUAUACCAUAACACUACAAGGAAAGGCACACAACUCUCACCCCCACUUCUUGAUUCUGCACAUAUUUUUCGCCCUUAGACUUUUAGCAAUUUCAGACAAACAAAUAUUAACCCAAUUUUUCAAUUGUAAAUGGGAUGAAAGGCAGAUCCAACUCUUAACUUUUAUUCCAGUUGUACAGAGUAAUUUAUGGAUUAUAUCUAGACAAUAGUACCGUUUUACUUGCUACAAGAUGGGUGAAUUUGUGUUUUAAAAUGAAGUUUUAUUUUAUCAAACAUUGUUAGAUAACAUGGAAGAUUCUGAAAUCAAGCUUGAGUAUCUAAUGAUGCAGUAUGUAAUCUCAGUUGAGAUACGGCUCAGCUGGAUAUUUUGGACAUGCCUCAGGGUCAGUAGUAUUUCAAAGUUGAAAGAUUUCUUGAUGGAACAUAGGAAAGCUCAUGUCAGCACAUUGUCAGAAACCCACAGUCGGUCGCUCUCCAUUUACCUCGCAGUUAUGAAUCUUUGGAGUACAUCAGAAUCUUCUGUUUGGCUUCCAUGAAGAGAAAAAAAAGGUAUAAAGUGUACAUAUGUUUGCUAGAGAGGAAAAACAUAUGAUAUGCAUACUAUGAAUGUCCUUUUGGGUAAGAGAUAAGUUUUGAUCUGGAUCAACAAUCCUAUUAAUAUAUUUUGUUCUAAAACUCUGCUGGUAUUUACAGGCACAAUUAACUUUUAAAAUUCCUUGGAUUCAAUAUAUUCUAGCACA